GGACAGGUGGCCGAGCGGUCGAAGGCACUUGCUUGGAAAGCAAGCAACAUCCAAAAGGUGUUCCAGGGUUCGAAUCCCUGCCUGUCCGCCA
This 91-nucleotide transfer RNA is filed under the name Steroidobacteraceae bacterium. RNAcentral describes it as "tRNA-Ser". It matches the Rfam family "tRNA". Rfam says of the family: Transfer RNA (tRNA) molecules are approximately 80 nucleotides in length. Their secondary structure includes four short double-helical elements and three loops (D, anti-codon, and T loops). The record is from RNAcentral. Lineage: Bacteria; Pseudomonadati; Pseudomonadota; Gammaproteobacteria; Steroidobacterales; Steroidobacteraceae.